Molecule: ribosomal RNA, 405 nt
Filed under: uncultured bacterium
Lineage: Bacteria
Description: bacterial SSU rRNA
Rfam family: Bacterial small subunit ribosomal RNA
Source: RNAcentral
GUGGGGAAUAUUGGACAAUGGGCGCAAGCCUGAUCCAGCCAUGCCGCGUGAGUGAUGACGGCCUUAGGGUUGUAAAGCUCUUUCGCACGCGACGAUAAUGACGGUAGCGUGAGAAGAAGCCCCGGCUAACUUCGUGCCAGCAGCCGCGGUAAUACGAAGGGGGCUAGCGUUGUUCGGAAUCACUGGGCGUAAAGGGUGCGCAGGCGGGUCGACCAGUCAGGGGUGAAAGGCCGGGGCUCAACCUCGGAACGGCCCUUGAAACUGUCGACCUUGAGUCCGGAAGAGGUGGGUGGAACUGCGAGUGUAGAGGUGAAAUUCGUAGAUAUUCGCAAGAACACCGGUGGCGAAGGCGGCCCACUGGUCCGGAACUGACGCUCAUGCACGACAGCGUGGGGAGCAAACAGG